RNAcentral lists this ribosomal RNA (483 nucleotides) under uncultured bacterium. RNAcentral's name for it is "SSU rRNA". It matches the Rfam family "Bacterial small subunit ribosomal RNA", at positions 26 to 520 of the family's 1533-position model. The record is from RNAcentral.
AGGACGAACGCUGGCGGCGUGCUUCACACAUGCAAGUCGAACGGGGCUCAUUCGGUGGUAACACCGGAGAAGGCCUAGUGGCGAACGGGUGCGUAACACGUGAAGAACCUGCCCCGAAGACUGGGAUAACAGCGGGAAACCGCUGCUAAUACCGGAUGACCCCACCAGGCCGCAUGGCCAGGUGAGGAAAUGGGCCUACCGCUUCGGGAGGGCUUCGCGGCCUAUCAGCUUGUUGGUGGGGUAACGGCCUACCAAGGCUACGACGGGUAGCUGGUCUGAGAGGACGACCAGCCACACUGGGACUGAGACACGGCCCAGACUCCUACGGGAGGCAGCAGUGGGGAAUCUUGCGCAAUGGGCGAAAGCCUGACGCAGCAACGCCGCGUGAGGGAUGAAGGUCUUCGGGUUGUAAACCUCUUUCGAGCAGGACGAUGUGACGGUACUGCAGAAGAAGCUCCGGCAACUACGCGCCAGCAGCCGCGU